This 507-nucleotide ribosomal RNA is filed under the name uncultured bacterium. RNAcentral describes it as "partial 16S ribosomal RNA". It matches the Rfam family "Bacterial small subunit ribosomal RNA", at positions 30 to 523 of the family's 1533-position model. The record is from RNAcentral.
AUUGAACGCUGGCGGCAGGCCUAACACAUGCAAGUCGAGCGGCAGCGGAAGGAAGCUUGCUUUCUUGCCGGCGAGCGGCGGACGGGUGAGUAAGGUAUGGGGAUCUGGCCGAAGGCGGGGGAUAACCCCUGGAAACGGCGGCUAAUACCGCAUAAUCUCUAAGGAGCAAAGUGGGGGACCUUUCAGGCCUCGCACCUUCGGAUGAACCCAUAUGAGAUUAGCUAGUAGGUGGGGUAAUGGCUCACCUAGGCGACGAUCUCUAGCUGGUCUGAGAGGAUGAUCAGCCACACUGGGACUGAGACACGGCCCAGACUCCUACGGGAGGCAGCAGUGGGGAAUAUUGCACAAUGGGCGCAAGCCUGAUGCAGCCAUGCCGCGUGUAUGAAGAAGGCCUUCGGGUUGUAAAGUACUUUCAGUCGUGAGGAAGGUGUUAAGGUUAAUAACCUUAGCAAUUGACGUUAGCGACAGAAGAAGCACCGGCUAACUCCGUGCCAGCCGCCGCAGUAA